GUGUCAGCAGCCGCGGUAAUACGUAGGGUGCGAGCGUUAAUCGGAAUUACUGGGCGUAAAGGGUGCGCAGGCGGCGUCGCAAGUCAGGCGUGAAAUCCCCGGGCUUAACCUGGGAACUGCACUUGAAACUACGAUGCUGGAGUAUGGCAGAGGGAGGUGGAAUUCCACGUGUAGCGGUGAAAUGCGUAGAGAUGUGGAGGAACACCGAUGGCGAAGGCAGCCUCCUGGGCCAAUACUGACGCUCAUGCACGAAAGCGUGGGGAGCAAACAGGAUUAGAUACCCUGGUAGUCC
Molecule: ribosomal RNA, 292 nt
Filed under: uncultured bacterium
Lineage: Bacteria
Description: partial 16S ribosomal RNA
Rfam family: Bacterial small subunit ribosomal RNA
Source: RNAcentral